GCCAAGGUGUAGGAAGCAGAGGGGGAAGAGUAAAUUUCUUCUCCAUAUUUACAGUUUCUAUCUAGCUCCCUCUGGUGGCAGAGCCUAACAGCGAGCAGCUGGCAAAGCAAAAAAUGCAGAUUCUCAGCCCUGACUUCAUCAGCCAAACACAGAAGGAGCAAUUCAGAGCUGGAAGACAAGGUCAUAGGAAAAUAAGGAGAAAGGAAGAUUUCUGAAGUCUUCAGGAGCAUUGACUAUAAAGGAGAUCAGAUGGAAUUGAGAAGACAUUGUAGUAAUCCAGGAUCAAAGACUAUACUCAGAACCUUUUACAUGCUAGGCAAGUGCUCUGCCACUGAAACAAAUCCCCAAUCCCAAGAUAUUCAUGCCUUUUGAUCCAGUUACUCUGCUUGAUGGGAAAAUUGUAAGGAAAUAAUCCUAAAUUUAGAAAGAAUUUUAUGCUUAUGAAGGUUUAUUGAAUCAUAUACCUCAUUCCCCAACAACAGCAAAGAAAUUAUAUUUCAUUCACUGGAUAGACUAUUAUUCAGCCAUUAAUCAUGGAAUAUUUGAAGAGUAAUAUAUGAGAAAAUAUGCUUGUUUAAUACAAAUUGAAAAGUAAGAUAUAAAUGUGUCCUUUAGAAGAUUAUAACCAUAAAGAAAACGCGUUUUUGCAGAGGGAAAAAUGGAAAUAAACUAAAAAAGCUUAUGAUGGUUAUAAUUA
Molecule: long non-coding RNA, 697 nt
Organism: Ictidomys tridecemlineatus (thirteen-lined ground squirrel)
Lineage: Eukaryota; Metazoa; Chordata; Mammalia; Rodentia; Sciuridae
Source: RefSeq, a predicted model, not a curated record